GUGGGGAAUUUUGGACAAUGGGCGCAAGCCUGAUCCAGCAAUGCCGCGUGCAGGAAGAAGGCCUUCGGGUUGUAAACUGCUUUUGUACGGAACGAAACGGUCCUGGCUAAUACCCGGGGCUAAUGACGGUACCGUAAGAAUAAGCACCGGCUAACUACGUGCCAGCAGCCGCGGUAAUACGUAGGGUGCGAGCGUUAAUCGGAAUUACUGGGCGUAAAGCGUGCGCAGGCGGUGCUGUAAGACAGGCGUGAAAUCCCCGGGCUCAACCUGGGAAUUGCGCUUGUGACUGCAGUGCUGGAGUGCGGCAGAGGGGGAUGGAAUUCCGCGUGUAGCAGUGAAAUGCGUAGAUAUGCGGAGGAACACCGAUGGCGAAGGCAAUCCCCUGGGCCUGCACUGACGCUCAUGCACGAAAGCGUGGGGAGCAAACAGGAUUAGAUACCCUGGUAGUCC
This 450-nucleotide ribosomal RNA is filed under the name uncultured bacterium. RNAcentral describes it as "partial 16S ribosomal RNA". It matches the Rfam family "Bacterial small subunit ribosomal RNA", at positions 354 to 796 of the family's 1533-position model. The record is from RNAcentral.